RNAcentral lists this non-coding RNA (19 nucleotides) under Arabidopsis thaliana (thale cress). The record is from RNAcentral. Lineage: Eukaryota; Viridiplantae; Streptophyta; Magnoliopsida; Brassicales; Brassicaceae.
GCCCGUAUAGCUCAGUGGU